This 443-nucleotide ribosomal RNA is filed under the name Streptococcus anginosus. Its description in RNAcentral is "bacterial SSU rRNA". It matches the Rfam family "Bacterial small subunit ribosomal RNA", at positions 28 to 453 of the family's 1533-position model. The record is from RNAcentral. Lineage: Bacteria; Bacillati; Bacillota; Bacilli; Lactobacillales; Streptococcaceae.
GACGAACGCUGGCGGCGUGCCUAAUACAUGCAAGUAGGACGCACAGUUUAUACCGUAGCUUGCUACACCAUAGACUGUGAGUUGCGAACGGGUGAGUAACGUGUAGGUAACCUGCCUAUUAGAGGGGGAUAACUAUUGGAAACGAUAGCUAAUACCGCAUAACAGUAUGUAACACAUGUUAGAUGCUUGAAAGAUGCAAUUGCAUCGCUAGUAGAUGGACCUGCGUUGUAUUAGCUAGUAGGUAGGGUAAUGGCCUACCUAGGCGACGAUACAUAGCCGACCUGAGAGGGUGAUCGGCCACACUGGGACUGAGACACGGCCCAGACUCCUACGGGAGGCAGCAGUAGGGAAUCUUCGGCAAUGGGGGGAACCCUGACCGAGCAACGCCGCGUGAGUGAAGAAGGUUUUCGGAUCGUAAAGCUCUGUUGUUAAGGAAGAACGAG